RNAcentral lists this non-coding RNA (148 nucleotides) under Pan troglodytes (chimpanzee). The record is from Rfam by way of RNAcentral. Lineage: Eukaryota; Metazoa; Chordata; Mammalia; Primates; Hominidae.
GCUGGGUGUGGUGGCGGGCACCUGUAAUCCCAGCUACUCAGGAGGCUGAGGCAGGAGAAUUACUUGAACCCGGGAGGCGGAGGUUGCAGUGAGCCGAGAUUGCACCACUGCACUUCAGCCUGGGUGACAGAGUGAGACUCCGUCUCAA